CACCCUAUGGAAAUUCCAAAUUCCUCUGUGGGGUGGGUAUGGAUAAUUCCUGAAACUACACAUUAAUGGUCAAAAAGUAACAGUAUAAAAUUAAGUUUGUACCAGUGUCUUUCAGACCAAUAUCUAUACAUUGAAAUUACUGUUAUUUCAUUGGCUUUUGGUGUGAUGACUGAUGGAUGGAAUACAAGAUCUAGAGGGUUAAGCACAAGGUCAUUACACAAUUAGAAUGUCUAGGUAAAAAGAAAACGUGCGGUAAAAAGCUGUCAGUUGUCAAUAUCUUUUUGCUUAAAAAUUAAAAUUUGAUCAUUAUGUGAUCUAUUGGGCCUAGUAUAUGUCUUUAAAAAUAAUUAAAUUGUCAUAACUGCAGUUGGAUUUUUAUAAAUUAAUGCUGCAUAAGGAGAACUUAAUUUGGAAUUAUUUUUGUACGAUGAAGAAAAUUACUAACCCUUUAUACUGAUAGUACACAAUUCUUUGUUUGACCACCCAAGACAUAAAUAUACCAUUGUGUGAAGUGUUUCUCGGUUCACUGGUCUGUUUCAAAAACAGUGUGAUUCUUUGCUAUUUUGCUACUUUAUAGUCUUAUUAUGAUAUAAUUUAGUUAAAUCCAUCUACUGGUCUUCCAUCAAUGCUGCAUUCUGAUUGAUAAGUCAUAGCUUACUAGUAGAGAAAAGUGCCAGCUUUGAAAACCAAAAGAUUAAAUUUAACUUUAAUCCAUCUAUAUAUAUUUUUGACCUACUACAUGUAGUUGGAUUUUACUAAAACUAUUAGUGCUCUUGCUCUCAUGGUCUAUUAUUCAAUAGCUCAUUAAGGCUUGAGGACUAAUUGCAAAAUAUCUGAUUCCCAAGCUUUUUACCAAAGAUUAAAGAUGUCAAUAAAUAUGUGAUAUCCCACUGCUAUGUACGCCAUGAGGCAACAGAGGCUUAGCAUAUUGUUGUGACUAAAUGUGUUGAUGCUGUCUUAAUUAUAUUAUUCAUGCCUCAUGUGUGUAAAUUAUAAAACAGAAGUUAUUUUUGAGCAGUGAAAACUAUAUGAUGAUGCAAUGUCUCAUGGCUGACAUUCUGCAGAAUGAAUCAAAAAAUGAAAGAAAAAGUCAAUGUUAAGGUCAUUCAAAUGCAUGUAACUGCAAAACUUAGUAUAAGAGUCAAUGUCUAAUUGUACAAUAUCAAUAAAUACAUUUGGUAUGGUGUGACUUGGAUAUAGAGUUUCAUACAUGCUGUGAUUGUCGAGAGACCAGUGAUUCUGAGUUCAUAAUCAUUGCUUGAGCGGUGAUAAUGAGGUUUCCCAAAGUUUGCAAGAGGAAGUAAUACUAAAACGUUUUUUUAAUCCUGUAUUCUAUCUUUUCUCUGAAAGUCAUACUAAAUCAUACUAAAGCAAUAUUAUUCACUGCAGGCUUAGUGAUUAUUGUAAAUAUUUACCUCACUGCUUGAUUGAAGACUCRGGCUGCUCUGUGAAUAUUCCUAGAUAAUCACUUCGCCUUUGGCAAAUAAUUUUUAAAUAAUUAGAUGUCCUAAUCUCUGUCAACAAAACUAAAGCCUUGCAAAAAGUACCAUUUCCUGACUUUCCAUCCCCUCCCAUAAAUAUAAUAAACCAAUUGAUUUCAUCAUUAUAAAAUUUGGAAAAAUUCUUCUGGUUUGCAAGACUGUAUAUCUUGAGAAUAAAGGAAAGAAAGAGCAUUUCCACUUCUUUUCCUUUCUUUCUGGAUUCAGAGACCGGAUAUAAUACAGGAUUUAACCUUGACCCUGAUUGGUUUACCUGCGAAGUUGCACACGGAUAUAAAAUUCUAGGUUUCGCGCCAAAAAUACGUAGUGACCGGAGUCACGAAGACCUUCAAAACGAAACGGAAACUAGAGACCAUUAUUUGGAAUAUUUACGUGCGAAAUUUCAUACCUCGGCUGAUUUAAAGAAAUAAGCACCCCUUCAGGUUGCUUGGUUGCUGCAAGGGCUGGAAGAAAACUCGUUGUCACAUCAGUCUUAGCAAGAAAUAAUGCACUUUAUUCUUUAUCAUAAAAUAACAAGUAUUCGUACUAUUAAAGUAUCAUUCCCGAAGACGUUAUGA
Actinia tenebrosa (Australian red waratah sea anemone) is the source of this 2056-nucleotide long non-coding RNA. The record is from RefSeq and is a predicted model, not a curated record. Lineage: Eukaryota; Metazoa; Cnidaria; Anthozoa; Actiniaria; Actiniidae.